GAGUUUGAUCCUGGCUCAGAAUCAACGCUGGCGGCGUGCCUCAGACAUGCAAGUCGAACGAUUAAAGCUCUCUUCGGAGAGUGUAUAGAGUGGCGCACGGGUGAGUAACACGUAAGUAAUCUACCUUUGAGUGGGGAAUAACGUCCGGAAACGGACGCUAAUACCGCAUAAUGCAGCGGCAUCGCAAGAUGACAGUUGUUAAAGAUUUAUCGCUUGAAGAGGAGCUUGCGGCAGAUUAGCUAGUUGGUAAGGUAAUGGCUUACCAAGGCUACGAUCUGUAACCGGUCUAAGAGGACGGUCGGUCACACUGACACUGAAUAACGGGUCAGACUCCUACGGGAGGCAGCAGUCGGGAAUUUUGGGCAAUGGGCGAAAGCCUGACCCAGCAACGCCGCGUGAAGGAUGAAGUAUUUCGGUAUGUAAACUUCGAAAGAAUGGGAAGAAUCAAUGACGGUACCAUUUAUAAGGUCCGGCUAACUACGUGCCAGCAGCCGCGGUAAUACGUAGGGACCAAGCGUUGUUCGGAUUUACUGGGCGUAAAGGGCGCGUAGGCGGCUUGACAAGUCACUUGUGAAAUCUCCGGGCUUAACUCGGAACGGCCAAGUGAAACUGUCAUGCUAGAGUGCAGA
Molecule: ribosomal RNA, 629 nt
Filed under: uncultured bacterium
Lineage: Bacteria
Description: bacterial SSU rRNA
Rfam family: Bacterial small subunit ribosomal RNA
Source: RNAcentral